Molecule: transfer RNA, 72 nt
Organism: Camelus ferus (Wild Bactrian camel)
Lineage: Eukaryota; Metazoa; Chordata; Mammalia; Artiodactyla; Camelidae
Rfam family: tRNA
About the family: Transfer RNA (tRNA) molecules are approximately 80 nucleotides in length. Their secondary structure includes four short double-helical elements and three loops (D, anti-codon, and T loops). Further hydrogen bonds mediate the characteristic L-shaped molecular structure. tRNAs have two regions of fundamental functional importance: the anti-codon, which is responsible for specific mRNA codon recognition, and the 3' end, to which the tRNAs corresponding amino acid is attached (by aminoacyl-tRNA synthetases). tRNAs cope with the degeneracy of the genetic code in two manners: having more than one tRNA (with a specific anti-codon) for a particular amino acid; and 'wobble' base-pairing, i.e. permitting non-standard base-pairing at the 3rd anti-codon position.
Source: Rfam
GAGGGUAGAGCUCAGAGGUAGAGCGCAUGCUUAGCAUAUAUGAGGUCCUGGGUUCAAUCCCCAGUACACCCG